CUUUAAUUUCACUGAAAAUUUAAAUUACCAAAUUGGUUUUUCAGUGCUUAGACGCCCCGCCCCCCGCCUCCCUCCUCUUUCUCUCACUCUUCUCUCUCCUCUUGCUUUUCCUCCUUUUCCACCUUGCUCUUGAAACACUAGAUUGUUUUAAUUCUUCUCAAGUAAACAACUGUUGUUGUUCUGGAUAUGGAUAUGGCUUGAAGAAGUGGGUUCCAGUAAGUCUGCGUUGCUUCUCAAUGGCUUGUUAAAUAUUCUGUGAUCUUUUAAUUUAGUGACUAGAGAGAUUGCAUGAACUUCGUCUCUGUGAGUUGUUGCAUUCCAGUUAAUGGAUUAUGACAUUUCUUCCUUAUCCUUUGGCAUGUUUGAAAAGAAUUCUUACAUUUCCUAUCCAGUUCCAGAGUCAGCAACAGAGCCUCUGUUUUUCUUGUUGAAGUCCUUGUUUGCAUCCUGUAAGGAGGAGAAAAACUUGAUUAUCUGUUAGAAGCUUGCAGUGAUAAUCUUUUAAUGUUUAUCUCACAGGAAAGUUUGUAAAGAAGCUAAAUUUGUAUAUCGGUUUCUCUGUGAGUAUGGUGCCCUUCAUUUUUGAUCCAGGUACAUGGCAGGACGCAGGAAAUUAGAUUCUGAAAUUGAACUAGGUCGUUGAGCAGUGAGAUGUGGGGAUUAUAAAAAUUUCUGCUUUUAGUUAUUUUUGUUCUGUGCACUCCUGUUAAGUUCUUAUUUUAUAUCCUCUUACCGGCUAGGUUAGGUUAUCUUGUUUUAAUAUCUAGUGGUGAUGUCUUGACAUCACAGUAUCACAG
This 797-nucleotide unclassified non-coding RNA is filed under the name Hevea brasiliensis (rubber tree). The record is from RNAcentral. Lineage: Eukaryota; Viridiplantae; Streptophyta; Magnoliopsida; Malpighiales; Euphorbiaceae.